This 473-nucleotide ribosomal RNA is filed under the name Burkholderia sp. M183. Its description in RNAcentral is "bacterial SSU rRNA". It matches the Rfam family "Bacterial small subunit ribosomal RNA", at positions 59 to 528 of the family's 1533-position model. Lineage: Bacteria; Pseudomonadati; Pseudomonadota; Betaproteobacteria; Burkholderiales; Burkholderiaceae. The record is from RNAcentral.
AAGUCGAACGGCAGCGCGUGAGCAUCCUGGCGGCGAGUGGCGAACGGGUGAGUAAUACAUCGGAACGUGUCCUGUAGUGGGGGAUAGCCCGGCGAAAGCCGGAUUAAUACCGCAUACGAUCUACGGAUGAAAGCGGGGGAUCGCAAGACCUCGCGCUAUAGGGGCGGCCGAUGGCGGAUUAGCUAGUUGGUGGGGUAAAGGCCCACCAAGGCGACGAUCCGUAGCUGGUCUGAGAGGACGACCAGCCACACUGGGACUGAGACACGGCCCAGACUCCUACGGGAGGCAGCAGUGGGGAAUUUUGGACAAUGGGCGCAAGCCUGAUCCAGCAAUGCCGCGUGUGUGAAGAAGGCCUUCGGGUUGUAAAGCACUUUUGUCCGGAAAGAAAUCCUCUGGGUUAAUACCCCGGGGGGAUGACGGUACCGGAAGAAUAAGCACCGGCUAACUACGUGCCAGCAGCCGCGGUAAUACGU